This is a non-coding RNA of Phalacrocorax carbo (great cormorant), 338 nucleotides long. The record is from RefSeq and is a predicted model, not a curated record. Lineage: Eukaryota; Metazoa; Chordata; Aves; Suliformes; Phalacrocoracidae.
UCAAGCUGUCUCUCAGCCUCUGUAACCAUGAGCACUCUUUUCCCACAGACAUAUGCAAAGAUGAUGUGGUAAAAACUCUGAAAUACUGUUCAGCUUCUCUACUGACAAGCAAUCUAAGAUGGCUACCUGAAAGCACGGAAUGCUCCGGCCGACGGCCCUGCAGCAAGGGGUUUGCUGAAACCCUUGGCCCAGGGAGGCAGUGUCUGAAUCUGGGUUUGUGUUAGACCUACGUUCAGAUUAAGGCUUGGGAUUUGAAAGCAGCAAAAUGUGAGCAAAUGAUCCAAAGAUUUGAAGCCAAAAUAGUAAACAUGACCUCAUAAAGUGUUUCUGUUUUCUGU